Molecule: transfer RNA, 88 nt
Filed under: Desulfonema magnum
Lineage: Bacteria; Pseudomonadati; Thermodesulfobacteriota; Desulfobacteria; Desulfobacterales; Desulfococcaceae
Description: tRNA-Tyr
Rfam family: tRNA
About the family: Transfer RNA (tRNA) molecules are approximately 80 nucleotides in length. Their secondary structure includes four short double-helical elements and three loops (D, anti-codon, and T loops).
Source: RNAcentral
GCGUCGGUAAACCGUAACUGAUAGCGGGCGGGGCUGUAAACCCCGUGUUCCUGGAACUCUGAUGGUUCAAGUCCAUCCCGGCGCACCA